GAUGAACGCUAGCGGCAGGCUUAACACAUGCAAGUCGAGGGGUAUAGUAGCAAUACUAGAGACCGGCAAACGGGUGCGGAACACGUACGCAAUCUACCCUUACCCGGGGCAUAGCCCGAAGAAAUUCGGAUUAACACCCCCAUAAAGAUAUUAGAGAGGCAUCUUUUAGAUAUUAAAAAUUUAUUGGGUAAGGAUGAGCGUGCGUCCCAUUAGCUAGUUGGUAGGGUAACGGCCUACCAAGGCGACGAUGGGUAGCUGGUGUGAGAGCACGACCAGCCACACGGGCACUGAGACACGGGCCCGACUCCUACGGGAGGCAGCAGUGAGGAAUAUUGGUCAAUGGGCGCAAGCCUGAACCAGCCAUGCCGCGUGCAGGAAGACGGUCCCUAUGGAUUGUAAACUGCUUUUAUACAGGAAGAAACCCUCCCACGUGUGGGAGAUUGACGGUACUGUAGGAAUAAGGAUCGGCUAACUCCGUG
This 479-nucleotide ribosomal RNA is filed under the name uncultured bacterium. Its description in RNAcentral is "bacterial SSU rRNA". It matches the Rfam family "Bacterial small subunit ribosomal RNA", at positions 28 to 507 of the family's 1533-position model. The record is from RNAcentral.